UAUGACUUGGAGAGAAAGGUCUAGAUUUCCUUGUCCUUGGCAGAGGCAGGGUCAUAGGAGUACUGGGCUCUGAGUGGAAGCAUAACCAGGUCCUCCCAUCCUGAUGGGUAAGACAAGGAGAUUGACAGAGCCUCUUACCACCUUCCCCAAAUGCCUCGAGAUGUGGAAAGUCUCUGCCUUUGGACAGUGCACAGCCCUGUGUCUGGCUCCAAUAGACAGAAUGGUGGUGCAAAGCGUUUUCUGAGAAGAGUCAGAUGGUCUAAGGUGAAGCCCACAGCAAAGAGCACACCACAAACCACAGUGCAGAAGUUCAGGGACUGGAACUUUGAAGUUGGAAUUUUGGGCAAGAGCACAGCAGAAGUAAGAAAAGGCAGGAAAGACUGCUGCAUACAACCAUGGAGCAUGCCCUGUCUCAGCUUUAUGGUUAUGGGGUCCUUGUGCUUCAUACCUCAUUCCUGUUUGAUUUCCAGUUUUCUUCCUUCUUGCAUGUCCCUACAAGAAUAAGUGGCUCCCAAGGACUCCUAGUUCUAAGGUGUUGGAUUGGGAGGUGAUAGGAAUUACUGAAGAUCUCAGCAGUCAAGGGACAUGAUUGAGAUGUUAGAACCAAGCUUCAAGCACCCUGUUUCUGCAAGCUGAAGUUUAGAGACACUGUUUCCUGAAAAUUUAUUUGAAUAGGAGCACAUAAGAUGUCUCAAGAGUUAAGUCCCUGCAUUGCCACCACCUUUGCCCACCCCACAGAAUGAAAGAGGGAAAUACCCACGGAGGGAGAAAAAAUAAGAAUAGGGAGCAUGUGGG
Molecule: long non-coding RNA, 795 nt
Filed under: Marmota monax (woodchuck)
Lineage: Eukaryota; Metazoa; Chordata; Mammalia; Rodentia; Sciuridae
Source: RNAcentral